This 394-nucleotide ribosomal RNA is filed under the name uncultured bacterium. RNAcentral's name for it is "bacterial SSU rRNA". It matches the Rfam family "Bacterial small subunit ribosomal RNA", at positions 505 to 898 of the family's 1533-position model. The record is from RNAcentral.
GUGUCAGCCGCCGCGGUAAUACGUAGGGGGCAAGCGUUGUCCGGAAUUAUUGGGCGUAAAGCGCGCGCAGGCGGUUCUUUAAGUCUGGAGUUUAAACUUAGGGCUCAACCUUAAGUCGCUCUGGAAACUGGGGAACUGGAGUGUAGGAGAGGAAAGUGGAAUUCCACGUGUAGCGGUGAAAUGCGUAGAGAUGUGGAGGAACACCAGUGGCGAAGGCGACUUUCUGGCCUAUAACUGACGCUGAGGCGCGAAAGCGUGGGGAGCAAACAGGAUUAGAUACCCUGGUAGUCCACGCCGUAAACGAUGCAUGCUAGGUGUUAGGGGUUUCGAUACCCUUGGUGCCGAAGUAAACACAGUAAGCAUGCCGCCUGGGGAGUACGCUCGCAAGAGUGAA